Molecule: long non-coding RNA, 1446 nt
Organism: Pieris brassicae (large cabbage white)
Lineage: Eukaryota; Metazoa; Arthropoda; Insecta; Lepidoptera; Pieridae
Exons: 2
Source: RefSeq, a predicted model, not a curated record
CUUCGCGAUAUUUUACGAUUUGUGAUCAUUUUAUUACAGGUCGGUGUGUGGCUAUUGGAUGUAAAGAAAUAGGUUCACAUAAAUUCCCUUCUAAUCCCACCCUAAGAAGAAAAUGGGAAAAAGCAUUGAGAAGAGUUAAUUUUAAAUCAACUGAUUAUAGUAGGUUGUGUACUCAGCACUUCAAAGUUACAGAUUUUGAAAUAAUUUCUAAGGUAACUGGAUUCCCACUUCAGCGAAUUUUUUUAAAGAAAUCUGCAGUCCCAACACUGUUUUCUUGGAACAGUGCGUCAGGUCAAGACACUUCUGCACGAGCUGAACAUUGGAAUAGAAGAAAUGUUAAGUGUUGCAUCAUACCCAGCACUGUGACAGAAACUAAUGAAUCUGUAGUUGACAACAACACUGCUGUGGCUGUGACUAAGGAUUCAAUUGACCAAGGCUACGCUCAUGAGGUUGAAAUUUCAAGUAUCAGUGAUGAAAAUAGUGAAAGGGUAGGUCAUUCUACAGGAUUGAGUGUUAAUCAAUCAAUGCACACUUCAACUUUUUCCAGAAUAUUUGUUCUUGAAAAUUUUAUGGUAGAUGAGAAGGCAAUCCAUUUCUAUAGUGGUUUAGAAAAUUAUGAUAAUUUUAAAUUAGUGUUAAGUACUUUAUGUCCUAUGGCAUACAGCUUAAAGUAUAAGGGAAGCCAAGUGAUCAAUAUCACAAUUGAAGACCAAUUUUUAUUAAUAUCAAUUAAAUUAAGACGAAACAAAUGUGAUUAUGAACUAUCAAAAUCUUUUGGUAUUAGUAAAACUUUUGUAUCAAAUAUUUUUAUUACCUGACUUAAUUUUACAUAUGACAUAUAGUCACUUAUUGAUAUUUGGCUGGAAAGGAAGUUAGUUGACUAUUACAUGCCUGUGCAGUUUAAGAAAAACUAUGCAAACACAAGAAUAAUAAUAGAUGGAACUGAAAUUCCAAUUACAAAACCUAAAAAUCCAAUAUCACAGUAGGCUACAUUCAGUUCCUACAAAAAUAAAAAUACAAUGAAAUUCCUAGUAGGUGCAACACCCGGGGGGUUGUUUACCUACUUUUCUAUGGGUUAUGGUGGCUCAACUUCAGACAGGCAAUUGAUUGAUAGGAGUAGUUUACUUGAAAAAUGUGAAACCAGAGACAGCAUUAUGGCAGAUCGUGGAUUUAAUGUGCAAGAUUUGCAGCAAAAGGCAUUGGCAUAAAUAUUCCCACCUUUUUAAAAGGAAAAUCUCAAUUAAGUGGUGUAACAGUGAAACGGGAUAGACAAUUAGCUAGGCAAUGAGUUCAUAUUGAACAUUUAAUAGGUCUAAGUAAGACCUUUAACAUAUUAAAAUCAGAAUUAAAUCCUUAUUAUGUACCCCUAGCUUCCCAAAUUUUCUUUGUUUGUAUAAUGUUGUGCAAUUUCAGAGAAGGUAUUGUAAAUAAACAAAGAUUAUGAUU